RNAcentral lists this ribosomal RNA (794 nucleotides) under uncultured bacterium. RNAcentral describes it as "bacterial SSU rRNA". It matches the Rfam family "Bacterial small subunit ribosomal RNA", at positions 8 to 796 of the family's 1533-position model. The record is from RNAcentral.
AGAGUUUGAUCCUGGCUCAGAUUGAACGCUGGCGGCGUGCCUAACACAUGCAAGUCGAGCGGUAACAGGUGUAGCAAUACAUGCUGACGAGCGGCGAACGGGUGAGUAAUGCUUUGGAAUCUUCCCAGUAGUGGGGAAUAACCAGUCGAAAGAUUGGCUAAUACCGCAUACGUCUGUAAAGGGAAAGCGGGGGCUCGUAAGACCUCGCGCUAUUGGAUGAGCCAAAGUCGGAUUAGCUAGUUGGUGGGGUAAUGGCCUACCAAGGCGACAAUCCGUAGCUGGUCUGAGAGGACGACCAGCCACACCGGAACUGAGACACGGUCCGGACUCCUACGGGAGGCAGCAGUGGGGAAUAUUGGACAAUGGGGGAAACCCUGAUCCAGCGACGCCGCGUGUGUGAAGAAGGCCUGCGGGUUGUAAAGCACUUUUAGUGGGGACAAAAAGCUACGGAUUAAUACUCUGUGGUCUUGAUUUAACCCAAAGAAAAAGCACCGGCUAACUCUGUGCCAGCAGCCGCGGUAAUACAGAGGGUGCGAGCGUUAAUCGGAAUUACUGGGCGUAAAGCGCGCGUAGACGGUUUUGUAAGUCAGAUGUGAAAUCCCUGGGCUCAACCUGGGAACUGCAUUUGAUACUGCAUGGCUAGAGUAUGGAAGAGGGAAGUGGAAUUUCCGGUGUAGCGGUGAAAUGCGUAGAUAUCGGAAGGAACACCAGUGGCGAAAGCGACUUCCUGGUCCAAUACUGACGUUCAUGUGCGAAAGCGUGGGGAGCAAACAGAUUAGAUACCCUAGUAGUCC